ACCAAAUCCGCUAACAUCACUAUGUGCUCGCUGAGAUCAAACCCGACAGAACGUGAAAAUAUGGCGUCUUUUACAGAUGAAUACUUGGCAACACCGUAACAAACAAAACAUCAAACUCGACAAUGUCGUGUAAAGUGCAGAGCAGGUAGACACAGAUGAGAAGAUAGAUGGAAACCACCGACCAUAUGACCGUCCCAUACAGAACAAACAACCACAGGUUACCCACAGGUUCCCUCUGCAUCCUUACUUCGGGACAAACAGCAGACAGGAGAGAGAGUCUCAUCUCCAGUGCAGCACCCUUGAGGAAAUUGUGGGCUGAAGGAAGCAGCGGACGAUCCAAGCCGAGGCCGGAAUAACGUCUCGAGUGCAGAUUGAUCCAGAACACUGUGGGAUUAUCAAGAGAGCCGGAAGAGCUUGGUCCUCACACUAUAGCUGAGGCAAAGCCAGAACCCAGAGCCAAUUACUUCCAUUUAUGAAAUAUGAUAUCUAGAAUUUUAUUCUGGAUAAAGUGAGAACAUUUGAGA
Carassius carassius (crucian carp) is the source of this 524-nucleotide long non-coding RNA. RefSeq lists it as uncharacterized. Lineage: Eukaryota; Metazoa; Chordata; Actinopteri; Cypriniformes; Cyprinidae. The transcript is spliced from 3 exons. The record is from RefSeq and is a predicted model, not a curated record.